AGGAUGAACGCUAGCGGGAGGCCUAAUACAUGCAAGUCGAACGGCAACAUGAUGAUAGCAAUAUUAUCGAUGGCGAGUGGCGCACGGGCGAGUAACACGUACAUAACCUACCCUUUACUGGGGGAUAGCCUUGGGAAACUAGGAGUAAACCCCCAUAGAGUACAUUGGACGCAUGUUUGAUGUAAUAAAUUCUUCGGGAGGUAAAGGAUGGAUGUGCGGCUGAUUAGCUAGUUGGUGAGGUAACGGCUCACCAAGGCAAUGAUCAGGUAGGGGGUGUGAGAGCAUGACUCCCCCAGACGGUACUGAGACACCGGACCCGACUCCGACGGGAGGCAGCAGUAAGGAUAGUGGACAAGUGGCGGAGACGCUAGAUCCAGCCUUAGCCCGG
RNAcentral lists this ribosomal RNA (388 nucleotides) under uncultured soil bacterium. Its description in RNAcentral is "bacterial SSU rRNA". It matches the Rfam family "Bacterial small subunit ribosomal RNA", at positions 26 to 400 of the family's 1533-position model. The record is from RNAcentral.